This 738-nucleotide long non-coding RNA is filed under the name Homo sapiens (human). RNAcentral describes it as "HSALNT0336105". The record is from RNAcentral. Lineage: Eukaryota; Metazoa; Chordata; Mammalia; Primates; Hominidae.
GCCAAAGCCUACUGGGGAUGGGUAUUUCACUUGAGAUUACUUCCCAAUUUUUAUUCUGUCUUCCAGAGGAUUAAAGAUGGAACUCUAAUACCAGUUAUGACAAGAUUCUUAGUAGAGAGUUCUCCACAACCAGGCACCCACAGAGAGAUGUUUAUGUGCCCCACUGGAAAGGCGGAGAAAACUGCUUCAGGUUUCAGGUGACCAACUCAGCUCUCCCAGCCACAGGCCCUGGAGAUCGCCCUAAGGGCUAAGGGAGCCAUAGCUCACACCCCUGCAACUUUCCAACCAAGUUGGGAAGCUCUGAUCUGGAAGAAAUGAUAAAUUUGGUAAUGGGUUAAGUCUAGAGGAGGGAGGCAAGGGCGUUUGGAUUUCAACUCUUCACCUGGUGUACCAUUUUAUCAAAGUGGGAGUGUAUUAUACUUAGAUAAAUAUAGCUUCUAAAAACCUAUUGGGAGAGGCUGGCUUUGACUCAGACUGGAGGGAGUAAGGAGUAAGAUGGGAGAAGGGUAUUGGGGAGUAGAAGUAGAAGUGAUGAGGUGACUAUACUGUUGAAGGAAUCUCACUGACGAAUAGUAUUGUUACAAAUUUGUAUCUCCAUCACCUUGGGUUUCCUUAACUUCCUCCUAUCAACAUCUUGGAUAUCAUAGUAUAGGAAGUACCUAAUCAGAAGAAAGGAAUAUUAUGCAUCUAUCAAAACAAUAAUUAUGAAAACUAUGCAUAUAUGUAAAAAAACACUCA